Molecule: ribosomal RNA, 348 nt
Filed under: uncultured bacterium
Lineage: Bacteria
Description: partial 16S ribosomal RNA
Rfam family: Bacterial small subunit ribosomal RNA
Source: RNAcentral
CCUACGGGAGGCUGCAGUGAGGAAUAUUGGUCAAUGGCCGGAAGGCUGAACCAGCCAUGCCGCGUGAAGGUCAGUGCCCUAUGGGCGUUAAACUUCUUUUGUGCGGGAGCAAUAAUGGUCACGUGUGGCCAGACGAGAGUACCGUACGAAUAAGCAUCGGCUAACUCCGUGCCAGCAGCCGCGGUAAUACGGGGGAUGCAAGCGUUAUCCUGAUUUAUUGGGUUUAAAGGGUGCGUAGGCUGUGAGGUAAGUCAGCGGUGAAAUGCCCCCGCUAAACGGGGUGGAGUGCCAUUGAUACUGGCUUGGUGGAAAGCGGAGGGCGUGGGAGGAAUGGGUGGUGUAGCGGUG